This 383-nucleotide ribosomal RNA is filed under the name uncultured bacterium. RNAcentral's name for it is "partial 16S ribosomal RNA". It matches the Rfam family "Bacterial small subunit ribosomal RNA", at positions 355 to 731 of the family's 1533-position model. The record is from RNAcentral.
UAGGGAAUCUUCCACAAUGGACGCAAGUCUGAUGGAGCAACGCCGCGUGAGUGAAGAAGGUUUUCGGACCGUAAAGCUCUGUUGUUGGUGAAGAAGGAUAGAGGUAGUAACUGGCCUUUAUUUGACGGUAAUCAACCAGAAAGUCACGGCUAACUACGUGCCAGCAGCCGCGGUAAUACGUAGGUGGCAAGCGUUGUCCGGAUUUAUUGGGCGUAAAGCGAGCGCAGGCGGAAGAAUAAGUCUGAUGUGAAAGCCCUCGGCUUAACCGAGGAAUUGCAUCGGAAACUGUUUUCUUGAGUGCAGAAGAGGAGAGUAGAACUCCAUGUGUAGCGGUGGAAUGCGUAGAUAUAUGGAAGAAUACCAGUGGCGAAGGCGGCUCUCUG